Molecule: ribosomal RNA, 240 nt
Filed under: Clostridium sporogenes
Lineage: Bacteria; Bacillati; Bacillota; Clostridia; Eubacteriales; Clostridiaceae
Description: partial 16S ribosomal RNA
Rfam family: Bacterial small subunit ribosomal RNA
Source: RNAcentral
GGCUGCAACUCGCCUACAUGAAGCUGGAGUUGCUAGUAAUCGCGAAUCAGAAUGUCGCGGUGAAUACGUUCCCGGGCCUUGUACACACCGCCCGUCACACCAUGAGAGCUGGUAACACCCGAAGUCCGUGAGGUAACCGUAAGGAGCCAGCGGCCGAAGGUGGGAUUAGUGAUUGGGGUGAAGUCGUAACAAGGUAGCCGUAGGAGAACCUGCGGCUGGAUCACCUCCUUUCUAAGGAGA